Molecule: long non-coding RNA, 243 nt
Filed under: Dasypus novemcinctus (nine-banded armadillo)
Lineage: Eukaryota; Metazoa; Chordata; Mammalia; Cingulata; Dasypodidae
Description: lncRNA (ENSDNOG00000050492.1)
Source: RNAcentral
CACCAGGCUGGCCUGGAGUACGGAGAUCAGUUACUUGAGUUCAAUGGCAUAAACCUGCGGAGUGCCACGGAGCAGCAGGCCCGGCUCAUCAUCGGACAGCAGUGCGACACUGUCACCAUCCUGGCCCAGUACAACCCACACAUGCACCAGCUGGGCAGCCACUCACGCUCCAGGUGAGGCUGGAGGCCCUGGACUGUGGGCUGGGGAGUGGGCGGGACGGGCGAGCUGCUGGAGAGCAGGGCU